Gossypium arboreum is the source of this 691-nucleotide long non-coding RNA. RefSeq lists it as uncharacterized. NCBI's taxonomy places the organism in Eukaryota, Viridiplantae, Streptophyta, Magnoliopsida, Malvales, Malvaceae. The record is from RefSeq and is a predicted model, not a curated record. The transcript has 2 exons.
AGCAACGCAUUAAUUAGCGAGCUAAAUUUUAAAACAUAAGGGAGGGAAAUUGGGGCGCAAAUUGAAGGUUGUGCGCAAGGGAAGGAUUCAGCGCGCAAUUUCCCCAUUCACACAACAUGGCGCUGAUCCAUUUUUCUAUUCGGGCCCACGCGCGGACCCUUAUGGUCAUGGGCAGCACUGUUUUGUAUUUCAGACCAUUUUAAACCAUUUUUCCCUUCCUUUCCUUUUAAAUACCCAUCCAUUUUAACAAAAACCAGCAGCCUUGAAAUUAAAUUUGCUAGGGUUCCUUUUACAAGCAGCUGAAUCUCCAUCGGAUUUGGUGUCCAGCGGCGCGCAAAACAAUUCCUGAUUCUGUUGCUGUAAGUAUUCGACCAUGCCUUGAGGAAAUUAGUACAGAGUCUGUUGGCAUGCGCACGGGGUGGGGGCGUGGCGUACAAGGGCUGUGGAGGUAUGGGACUGCUGUAGUGGAGGUAUGGGUCUAUUGCCCAGUUGCUGUUGAGGCGCAGAAGAGAGGGGUGACUUAGGGUUUGCCGAAACUUGGCUCAAUUUUUGGGGCCGUUUGGGUCUGUUCCAGUUAUUGGGCCGUUGUAUUUGGGCUAUGGGGCAUUGGGUAUCAAUAUUGGUUGUAAUAUUUGGACCUUUAUGACAGACUAUUAGUUUGGUUUUAUUCUUUGGACUUUUGGUUUAAUAA